Molecule: ribosomal RNA, 388 nt
Filed under: uncultured bacterium
Lineage: Bacteria
Description: bacterial SSU rRNA
Rfam family: Bacterial small subunit ribosomal RNA
Source: RNAcentral
AUUGAACGCUGGCGGCAUGCUUUACACAUGCAAGUCGAACGGCAGCGGGGGCUUCGGCCUGCCGGCGAGUGGCGAACGGGUGAGUAAUGCAUCGGAACGUACCCAGUCGUGGGGGAUAACUACGCGAAAGCGUAGCUAAUACCGCAUACGCCCUGAGGGGGAAAGCGGGGGAUCGCAAGACCUCGCGUGAUUGGAGCGGCCGAUGUCGGAUUAGCUAGUUGGUGGGGUAAAGGCCUGCCAAGGCGACGAUCCGUAGCGGGUCUGAGAGGAUGAUCCGCCACACUGGGACUGAGACACGGCCCAGACUCCUACGGGAGGCAGCAGUGGGGAAUUUUGGACAAUGGGCGCAAGCCUGAUCCAGCCAUGCCGCGUGCAGGAUGAAGGCCUC